This 372-nucleotide unclassified non-coding RNA is filed under the name uncultured Gammaproteobacteria bacterium. Its description in RNAcentral is "contains 16S-23S intergenic spacer region". The record is from RNAcentral. Lineage: Bacteria; Pseudomonadati; Pseudomonadota; Gammaproteobacteria.
UCCGGUUUGUCACCGGCAGUCUCAUUAGAGUGCCCUUUCGUAGCAACUAAUGACAAGGGUUGCGCUCGUUGCGGGACUUAACCCAACAUCUCACGACACGAGCUGACGACAGCCAUGCAGCACCUGUGUUCUAGCUCUCUUUCGAGCACUCCCAACUUUCAUCGGGAUUCCAGACAUGUCAAGGGUAGGUAAGGUUUUUCGCGUUGCAUCGAAUUAAUCCACAUCAUCCACCGCUUGUGCGGGUCCCCGUCAAUUCCUUUGAGUUUUAAUCUUGCGACCGUACUCCCCAGGCGGUCAACUUCACGCGUUAGCUGCGUUACUGAGUCAAUAAAGACCCAACAACUAGUUGACAUCGUUUAGGGCGUGGACUAC